UGACUUUUUAGCUUUUAAUUACUUUUAGUGUCGUAUUUAAAUGAUUUUCCUGCCUUUUAACAGGCUGUUCUGCUCCUGAAAUAAAUGGGGGAUGUGGGUGGGGAAUUAAUUGUAAAGAAAAUAGAAUUAUGUGGGUACGUGGCUGGUGACAGGUAAAGGGCAGAUUUAUCGAGGUUGAAUCCUAGCUUUUCUGCCUCCGAGCCCAGUAACCUCCAAGACGCUAAGCCUACCCGGAAAAUGGGGUUAAUAGCGGUACCUACCUCACAGGGCUGCUGCCAUAACUCACGUGAGGUUCCCAGCACAUUAUUGGGCAUCUGAUGAAUGCUCAGUUAGUAGUUUUAAUAUUAUUAACAACACUGUUUUAUUAUUUAUAAGAAAAAUGAGUCUACUAGAAAAAUCAAUCUCCUCAUUUCAUGGCUUUCCUCUGUUUUUGACUCAAACUGUUACUUUCUUGGUUGCGCAUCAGAACCAGUGCGCUAGGGGACCCCUGGUGGCUCAGGGCGUGACCCCGGGGUCCUGGGAUUGAGUCCCGCGUCGGGCUCCCCGCAGGGAGCCUGCUUCUCCCUCUGCCUCUGUGUCUCUCAUGGAUAAAUAAAAUCUUAAAAAAAAAGAAAAGAACGAGUGGGUUAGUUUUUAAAUGACUCUUUGCUGUUUUCACAAAUUCAGAAAUGCAUACAAGUCUGCAAAACUUGUGCCUACGCUAGGAAUGUUCUGUUGAGCGUGAGGCCGGCCCCUCCCAGUUCCUCUGCCAUUGGGAGCUCGGCUCCGUGGGUGCCGGGUCCCCCCAAGGGUCUUCCGAGAGGGGGUAACAGGGUUUUGAAAAUGCGAGGUGGUGUUCGUUAAAGCAAGCUCCAGCCUAUGAGGGCUGCGAUGGGGACCGUGGCCCCUUCCCCGCCGCAGGAUGUCCUGUGCGCUGCGACCGCGAGCGUCCUGGGUGGGGCGAGGGGGCCCGAGGCCGGGCUGCGGGCGCGCGGGUUCCCCGACGGCCCCGGGGUUCUUGUGGGCAAAGUCGGGCCGGGCGCGGGUCGGAGGGGACCAGGCCGCUGCCCUGCAGGUGGAGGCCCCGCCGCCAGCGCCCCCCCGACUCGGCCGCAGGAUCGUUCCGGAGAGGAAAGCGGGUCCCGGCCCAGCGUUGGGAGACGCGUGUGCCCCGCGCCCCGGAGGUGCAGGUCUCCAUCCAGCCUUCUCAUGCUGGGAUGGUUGGAUGACAGUGCAAGUGGACGAGGGUCUAGGAUCCAGACUGCUUCAGACUCCAUCACCAGCAUUUCCCCACAUGGAGCCUGCAAGACCUUCUCCAUCUUCACUCUUCCCACCUCAGUUCUGCACAGCCUUCAAGACCUUGCUCAGCACGUGAAAGGAAGCAUUUCAUGCAAGUUUCAUCUUCCAAAAUAAGCCCGGCAAGAUGGUCAUCCACAGACAACCGAGGCAUUUCAUCGGGGACCCACCUCUUAGUAUCCUGUACGCAGAGAGCGCUGGGGGUAGAAGAACUCCAAUCCCACUGAGUUGAUUUGCAGAGCACGGAGAUAUUCACACACACAGACACACACACACACACAAAAUCCUGUAUCACUUGUUAGCACAAAUAAUAAAUAAAUAGGUAAAUGUGUUGAUCUGGGUUUU
RNAcentral lists this long non-coding RNA (1620 nucleotides) under Vulpes vulpes (red fox). RNAcentral's name for it is "lncRNA (ENSVVUG00000020043.1)". The record is from RNAcentral. Lineage: Eukaryota; Metazoa; Chordata; Mammalia; Carnivora; Canidae.